This is a long non-coding RNA of Octopus sinensis (East Asian common octopus), 149 nucleotides long. RefSeq lists it as uncharacterized. The record is from RefSeq and is a predicted model, not a curated record. The transcript is spliced from 4 exons. Lineage: Eukaryota; Metazoa; Mollusca; Cephalopoda; Octopoda; Octopodidae.
AUGUUGUUCCACCAGGAACUCAUUCAUCAAACUCUACAGAUCUUCCAGGAUGAGGCUCUAGGCUAUAGUUUCCAGCUAGGAAUUUCUGGAAAAACCUUUGACACUGGCUUACACUUAUUGUCUAAUCUCCAUAUACUGCAUUAAUAUUC